AUACGAGGGGUGCAAGCGUUAAUCGGAAUUACUGGGCGUAAAGCGUUCGUAGGCGGUUUGUUAAGCAAGAUGUGAAAGCCCUGGGCUCAACCUGGGAACUGCAUUUUGAACUGGCAAGCUAGAAUACUGUAGAGGGUGGUGGAAUUUCCAGUGUAGCGGUGAAAUGCGUAGAGAUUGGAAGGAACAUCAGUGGCGAAGGCGGCCACCUGGACAGAUAUUGACGCUGAGGAACGAAAGCGUGGGGAGCGAACAGUAUUAGAUACCCCAGUAGUCC
This 274-nucleotide ribosomal RNA is filed under the name uncultured bacterium. Its description in RNAcentral is "partial 16S ribosomal RNA". It matches the Rfam family "Bacterial small subunit ribosomal RNA", at positions 523 to 796 of the family's 1533-position model. The record is from RNAcentral.